GUGUCGCAUACCGGGCCCGGGCUGACGCCGCCUCCAGGGAGGCUGCCCUGACCACCCAGCCGCUUGGCGCCCCCGGUACAGGUCAUCCUCGGGCUGACACAUUUCCUGCUUCUCCGACUGGGUCGCCCACGAGGGAAGACUAACAAUGCCCAUCAGGAGCGUCUAUGCCUGCUUACCUGAUGUCAGUUCAGUCCCAUUUCUAUGCCCCUAACAGUGAGCGGCACAUCUGACACUCCCCCGGGGGCUUCUUGUCAGAAGUGAGAGCCCCUGCGCCAUAGACGUGUUAUUUCAUAUCAAAACUCGAGUAGCCCUGGGAGAGCCAAGCAGUGCUUCUCACCGCAGCCCCGACUCACCCUUCCAGCUGCCUCACCAGCACCGACACCUCCCAGUCGACGGGGACACCGUCCACUCCCAGCUCCUGGAGCCUCCAGGAUGCCAGACUUCCCUUUUUGCCUCAAAGGACCACGAAAACGCUGGGUCUCAACAAAGGCUUACCUGAUUCACCUGUACCAUGGGAGAAGCCAUCGUGCAAAAAAAAAAAAAAAAAAAAAAAGUCUCCUACCAAAAAGAGAGUUAAGUAAAACCGA
Long non-coding RNA from Lutra lutra (Eurasian river otter), 587 nucleotides. RefSeq lists it as uncharacterized. The record is from RefSeq and is a predicted model, not a curated record. The transcript is spliced from 3 exons. Lineage: Eukaryota; Metazoa; Chordata; Mammalia; Carnivora; Mustelidae.